CCUACGGGUGGCUGCAGUGGGGAAUAUUGCACAAUGGGCGCAAGCCUGAUGCAGCCAUGCCGCGUGUGUGAAGAAGGCCUUCGGGUUGUAAAGCACUUUCAGCGGGGAGGAAGGCGGUGAGGUUAAUAACCUCAUCGAUUGACGUUACCCGCAGAAGAAGCACCGGCUAACUCCGUGCCAGCAGCCGCGGUAAUACGGAGGGUGUAAGCGUUAAUCGGAAUUACUGGGCGUAAAGCGCACGCAGGCGGUCUGUCAAGUCGGAUGUGAAAUCCCCGGGCUCAACCUGGGAACUGCAUUCGAAACUGGCAGGCUAGAGUCUUGUAGAGGGGGGUAGAAUUCCAGGUGUAGCGGUGAAAUGCGUAGAGAUCUGGAGGAAUACCGGUGGCGAAGGCGGCCCCCUGGACAAAGACUGACGCUCAGGUGCGAAAGCGUGGGGAGCAAACAGGAUUAGAUACCCCUGUAGUC
Molecule: ribosomal RNA, 465 nt
Filed under: uncultured Klebsiella sp.
Lineage: Bacteria; Pseudomonadati; Pseudomonadota; Gammaproteobacteria; Enterobacterales; Enterobacteriaceae
Description: bacterial SSU rRNA
Rfam family: Bacterial small subunit ribosomal RNA
Source: RNAcentral